This 762-nucleotide ribosomal RNA is filed under the name uncultured fungus. RNAcentral describes it as "eukaryotic LSU rRNA". It matches the Rfam family "Eukaryotic large subunit ribosomal RNA", at positions 30 to 821 of the family's 3401-position model. Lineage: Eukaryota; Fungi. The record is from RNAcentral.
GAACUUAAGCAUAUCAAUAAGCGGAGGAAAAGAAACCAACAGGGAUUGCCCCAGUAACGGCGAGUGAAGCGGCAACAGCUCAAAUUUGAAAUCUGGCCCCUCCGGGUCCGAGUUGUAAUUUGUAGAGGAUGCUUUUGGUGAGGUGCCGCCCGAGUUCCCUGGAACGGGACGCCGCAGAGGGUGAGAGCCCCGUCUGGCUGGCCACCGAGCCUCUGUAAAGCUCCUUCGACGAGUCGAGUAGUUUGGGAAUGCUGCUCAAAAUGGGAGGUAUAUGUCUUCUAAAGCUAAAUAUUGGCCAGAGACCGAUAGCGCACAAGUAGAGUGAUCGAAAGAUGAAAAGCACCUUGAAAAGAGGGUUAAACAGUACGUGAAAUUGUUGAAAGGGAAGCGCUUGUGACCAGACUUGGGCGCGGCGGAUCAUCCGGGGUUCUCCCCGGUGCACUUCGCCGCGUCCAGGCCAGCACCAGUUCGUCGCGGGGGAAAAAGGCCUCGGGAACGUGGCUCCUCCGGGAGUGUUAUAGCCCGUUGCAUAAUACCCUGCGGUGGACUGAGGACCGCGCAUCUGCAAGGAUGCUGGCGUAAUGGUCACCAGCGACCCGUCUUGAAACACGGACCAAGGAGUCGUCUUCGUAUGCGAGUGUUCGGGUGUCAAACCCCUACGCGUAAUGAAAGUGAACGCAGGUGAGAGCUUCGGCGCAUCAUCGACCGAUCCUGAUGUUCUCGGAUGGAUUUGAGUAAGAGCAUACGGGGCCGGACCCGAAA